GCAAUGCAGGAUCUGAGCCUCGUCUGUGACCUACACCACAGCUCAUGCAAUGCUGGAUCCUUAACCCACUGAGCAAGGCCAAGGAUCGAACCUGCAUCCUCAUGGAUACUAGUCAGAUUCGUUUCUUCUGAGCCAUGAUGGGAACCCCUUACAUUUUUUUUUUUUUAAAUUGAAGUAUAGUUGAUUUACAGUGUUUCCUGCAUUUCUGUUGUACAGCAAAGUGACCCAUUCACGCACAGUUCCCUGUGCUGCACAGUGUGUAAUAUGUUCUUAAACACUUUUUUUUUUUCCUUUUUAUGUAAGUUCCCAGAGUAGGGGUCGAAUAGGAGCUGCAGCUGACGGCCUACACCACAGCCACAGCGAUGUCAGAUCUGAGUUGCGUCUGUGAUCUAUACCCACAGCUUGCAGCAACUCUGGAUUCUUAACCCACUCAUCGAGGCCAGGGGUCCUCACAGAUACUAUGUUGGUUCUUAACCCGCUCAGCCACAAUGGAAACUCCCUUUAUAUACUUUUAAUUAUACCUUUAAUAUGAUGUGAUAACCUCAUCCAGGUCUCAACAAUGGACCCCUUUUGGCCAGAGGUUAUUUGACUGCUUUGGAGAGAUCUAAAAAUCAUAAUUCCUUGGUUUCAUUUGUGGCCAUUUGUAUCUCACCAAUGGCUGUCUUGCCCACUGUUGUUUCCUGGGAUUUUUUAGGGAAAUUCUGGGACAGAUAACUCCUUUGCCUGUGGAAGUUAUCUUUGGAAAUAAUGUGACAUUUUUAAUCUAUCCAAUCCCAGGUAGAUUUAAAAAAAAUGUAUGUACAUUUAACAGUUUCUCUGAAAAAAUGUAGGAAGCAUGGACACCAAAAUAUUAAACUAGAGUAAGGGUUCCCGUUAUAGUUUUCAUAGCAUCCUCUCUUGUAUUUUUCCCUUAGAGUCUUUAUCAGAAUUGAAAUUCAGCACUCGUGUGGUUGUUUAUCCAUUCCUUUCCUGGAAUGAGGAUUCCUUCUUACUCCUUUCCUAGAACAAGAACUCUGCCCUAUGCCAGGCCCAGGCUAGUGUAAACUAAACUUCCGAGCUAUGAAUGAGAGGUUCUUGUUUGCUUGUUUCUGCUUUCCUCUAGUUUUACAGUUUCUACCAUGAGGACAUUUUUCCUCAUCAUACAGUAUACAGAAAAAGGGAGUGUGCAUAAUUAAGGACGCUGUAUUACUUUUCAGAGAAAAUAUUUGUGCAGCUGAAAAAGAAACCUACUUGGAAAGAACUAGCAAAGAAAGGGACCCGUUGAGGCAUGUGUGUCAGUGGUAGGUUUCCUCUCUUGGUUCUAAGAACUUGAUUAGCAGAGGAGAUAUUCUAAAGAGAGUACAGAGUGUGCUGAGAUCAAGAAGCAUCUCUGCCCAUAAUAGCAGAUAAUUGACAUUGCAGCUUUGUCUUGACUUAAAAUAAUGACACGGUUCAUAUUUUGUUCUCUUUCAAAUCGGGCUUGUUUUUUUAAGGAAAAAAAAUAAGUGAGACUGCUUCUAUAGAAUCAUUUGUUAGACAUAUUCUGUUUCAGGAUUUAUUUCCAGGCACUUCAUAGUGGAAAUUUGGCUCUUGGAACUUAGGCUUGGUUUUCAUGUAUUUUCUGUGUCAGAAAAUUUUACUAUGUCUGUAAGUAAACUAGGUAGCAGACUCUCACCCACAAUGAUUUAUGACUGAUUGGGGGCAGUUAUAAUUUUUUUUAAUGUCAGUAAAAUUUAAAUUUACUACAUGCCAAUCAUUUUCCAAAGUCACACUGGUAUUUAAACCACAGAAGAAGUCAUUUGCAUUUAGUAGGGGCUGUAGGUCUGAAGCAAUGAUCAUUUGGUCAUGGAUUUUUUGAUUUUAGGCUGAGAGGAACCUUGAUGUUUUGGAAAUUCUAGUUUUCAGAUGACUGCCUACACCUACAGCCACAGCAGUGCCAGAUCUGAGCCACAUCUGCAACCUAUACCACAGCUCAUGGCAAUGCCGGAUCCCCAACCCACUGAGCAAGGCCAGGGAUUGAACCUGCAUCCUUAUGGAUACCAGUUGGGUUUGUUAACUACUGAGCCAUGACAGGAACUCCCAACCCGGGUUUUAUUUAAUUCCCUGGGGUAUUGGAAUUGGCACUGAGGAAGAAAAAUUAGUUUCUCUCCUGGUGGUUGAAACAGAGGACCAGAGUGAAGAGCUGUUGGAAGCCACGUUCUCUCCAGUGUCCUGAGGCACAGAGAUGGAGGAGUACAGCAAAUCCACAGAGAGAAUUUAAGGUGAAAUCAGAGGGGGAAAACCCAUUCCUGAGUCCUCCACAUGCUCUAGGCUCUGGUUCUAGACCUUUCGAGCAUGUCCCUUAGCCUUGGAUUCCAUAAUAUGAUAGUAUUCCUCUAAAAAAAUCAUCUCUGCCCACUUUUUAUUAAAACUAGCAAGAGUCAGUUUUAGUGACGAAUGCGCAUUUUUCCCUAUGUGUGUAGAUAUUUAUAGACAUAUUACAAUUCUGCUUUAGGCCCGUCUUCAGGUGGUAAGUGAGCCUCAAAGCUUGUUAAUUCAUGGAAAGUCAAUUAGCCUCUAGUUUAGUUUGAAGAUACAAAGGAAUAGGAAAAGUUCAGUUCAUCUAACAUUUCCCAAGAAUGAAAAUGUGUUCUAAGGAAGCUUUGCUGCAUAAGCAGAAAUACUUUAACAUGGAUUUGAGUGUAAAAACUUACUAAGAAGUGAAAUUUUACCUGUAGUAUUCUCUCUCAUCUGAGUCUUUACAGCCCACUCAGGUCUUAUUUCUUUUUGAAGGUAAUACACACAGCAAUAAUAUUAGCAUAAAUAAAAAGCGUGGUUUAUUUAUGAGCAUGGCUGACUACGUUUUCCUAAUUAUGUCUUUGCUGCACCCUUAGCUCUUGGAGUGAGAAGCUUGGCUAAUAUCAGGGUCACUCAAGCUGGUCUGGCCUCUGGACCUGCUAAUUUGAGUGAACAGCCACUGCUGAGAUUUGAGAAAGUGCUAGCCUGAAAAUAGGCAACUGAAAGACAGUUCUACUCUGGAGUGAUAACCAGCUAGUUCUCUUCUCUUGUUACUGAGCUGUAGCCGAGUGGAUAAGAACAGGAUCUGUGAAUUCAGACCCGUGUGGAGAUCCUACCUCUGGUCUUCAUACACUGAGUGACUUCAAGCAGGUUGCCUGAUCUUUGUAAACCUCAACUUCCUUAUCAAUACAAUGGGUUGCUAAUAGUAGGAAUUGGGUUACCCAAUACCUACUGCAUUGGAAAAUUUUUUUUUUUUUUUGCCUUUUUAGGGCCACACCCACAGCAUAUGGAAAUUCCCAGGUGAGCGGUCGAAUCAGAGCUGCAGCUGCUGGCCUACACCACAGCCAUAGCAGUGCAGGAUCCAAGCUGAGUCUGUGACCUAUACUGCAGUUCGGGCAACGCCAGAUCCCUAACCCACUGAGCGAGGCUAGGGAUCGAACCCGCAUCCUCAUGGAUCCUGGUUGGGUUUGUUACUGCUGAACCAUAACGGGAACUCCUGCAUUGGAAUAUUAUGCUUCAGUAAAAUAGUAUUUAUGAAGUGCAUAGUAAACAUUUAUGUCUUGGCAAUUAUUAUGGGUAUUAUGUAAGGCAGUUAUGACAAUGCCUAGAAUAUGAUAAAUGCUUUGGCUCUUUUAGAAGUAUCCUUAUUGUUAAAACUCAGUGGGUAAACAUCUCCCCUGUGCUAUCUGUCUCUGGACAGGAGGUGAAGAAUCCCUGAUUUAUUCCAACCUCUCAUUUUAUAGGCAGAGGAAUGGAGACCCAGAAGAGUGGCAGUUUUCUAAGGUCAGGCAGUGCCUGGCAGAACUGAGGGUGCAACUCAGGGACCUAUGUCUUAAUUCAGUUUUGUACCCACAAUGCUGCCUCAUUCACAUGCAGAAGAUCUAACAUAUUCUUCAGCUUCAUUGAUAUAUAUGCAAAGGGCACAGGACAUUUGCAAAAGAUACCAUUUGAGGCCAUCCCAAACUUUCAGACUUGAUAAUAUGAACGUGUUUGUACGGGUCAUUGUUUGUCCCAAAUCAUAUUUCUGUUUGGAUCAUGUGUUUCCUAUGUAAAGCCUGUUUUACUAAAAUGUCUUCCUUUGCUUGAUGGCGGAUUUUCACAGGGAAUCUGAGUUUGUAAUUACUUCACAGAUACUAUUUUGCCCAAAGACAAGGAGGAGAUCUCCAAGUUGUGUUGCUGGAGAGAUGCUGGGCCCCUGGAGUCUAAAUGAUGGUUCCAAACACUGACUGUAUCAUCUGGAUGAUUCAAAUUUAUUACCUCAGUGAAAUCUCACCCUAGAACGUGUCAUGUAUCUUUAGGUUUGCUCAUGAGUAAUUGAAACAAUGAUCGUUAAGUCCUUUAAUUCUAGAUGUUUAUACUCUAUAAUGGUUCCGUUAUACUUGACAUUGGUCAGACCGCUGUGUUCCAUGGAGGGCCAUAUUUUAAGAGGGCUGUAGCCAAACAUGAUACACAUAGGAACAAACGAUGAGAAUGGGAAGGACUUCUAGGAGUUGGGUUCUGUUGGCUCUGGAAGAGAGAUGAAGAAGCGUAAUAAAAUCUGCCCUCAGAUAUUUUUAAGGCUGUCGGGAGGAUGAGGAUUUUACUUACUCUAUCAUCCUUGAUAUUUUAGGAUGAUGUGUUUUAGCUUCUUUAUAAAGAAAAAGUUAGGUGAUACUUGAGUAACAUGAAUCAUAACAAUGAAGGCUGCCAAUUAUUGAGCCCUUAAUGAGAACCAAGUACUAUGCUAAAUGUUUUCCAGGGAUUAGAAUCCCUAUUUUAUAGAUAAUGAAACUGAGAUUCAAGUAAGUUUCAGAAUUGGCCCCAAAGCCCUCCUUAAGUGGCUGGCCCCUAGGAGUCCAGAGCCUCAUGAAGAGCAAAUGCCUCCCUCACUGGGUGGCUGAGCGGUUCUAGGAGGCUUCAGCUCUGGAGCUGCCUGCCUUGUGUCCUAGUCUGCCUAGUGAUCCUGGCACAAGGCUUGGGCUCAGCCUAGGCUCAGCAAAUGGUUGCACAAUGAAUGAAUGAAUGGACCCUGCAUUUGGUGGGAGCUUGGACUACUCUGACUGGUCUCUAAGGCCCUUUCAAACUCAUGAAUCAUUUAGUAAGAAAUAAAAUCACCUGGCUUUUGGAUAUAAGCUAGUCACAGCUAGUCUGGGUGGCUGGAUCUGGGGAGAGAAAGAGCCAGGUGGUCAGGGUGCAGAGGGCGUGAUUUUGCUUAUAGUCUAUUAAUUGGGCAUUUCCAGGGUAGCUGGUAUUUCCUUGAGAAUUGCAAACAUCUUUUGCCUCAAGUGCUUCUUUGUGCAUUCUGUGGAGCUUUGGGGAGACGGAAGACUUUAGAAGUCUUUGAAAAAUGACCCUCAUUGCCUUUGGGUUAGAGGCUAAUUUAUAGGAAUAGUAAAUGCCUUAUAUUAGUGGCACAGUCUGAACACUUGCAUAUAAUGUCUCUUUUGAUCCUUGAAGUGGAUAAAGAAGAUAUAACUUCAUUUUAUGGAAGACAGCGAUGUUCAGAGAAAUUAAGGGACUUUCCUAAGGUCAAAUGAAGUUCCACUUUCCCUCUAAGCUGCAAACUUGAUUGUCAUCAACCUGCUUGGUAUUUCCAUUUGGACAGAUAAUGGGUAGCUCAGAUCCAGCAUACGCUUUCGGAGCUCCUUGUUCCUGUUCCUUCUCCAGUGCUGUCUCAAGAAAUGCAUCACAGGAAACUCAGGUAUAUUAGUUUCCUAUUGCUGCUGUAGCAAAUUACCACUAACUUAAAAUAAUAUUAUUAUUUUACGGUUCUAGAGAUCAGAGUUCUAAAAUGGGUUGGCAGGGCUGCAUUCCUUCUGGUGUCUUCAUUUCCAUGCCUCUUCCACCUUCUAGAGGCUGAAGAAUCAGCCUGAUUUAUUCCAUAGCUGCUGGUCUUGCAUCACUCUGACCUCUGCUUUCAUUGUCACAGUUCCUUCUUUGACUCCGACCCUUCCGCCUCCAUAUUUCUUUUGUAAGGACUCUUGAGAUUACAUUGGGUCCACCCAGAUAAUCCAGGAUAAUCUGUACAUCUCAAUUUAAGUGUAUCAGCAAGUCUCUUUUGCCAUGCAAGAUAGCAUAUUCACAGGUUUGGAGAUGAGGAUAUAAAUUUCUGGGGACCAUUAUUUGGCUCACCGUACCGAGUUGUAUGGCCAAACCCAAGGUAUUGCCCUAUUUUUCCAUCCAGUCCAUCAGCAAGUCCGGUUGGGAUCUCUGCCAUCAUCAUCAGCUCACCCACCACCAUCUCUCACGUGGACCUUUGAUGCUCAAGCCUUUUCAUCUGAUCUCCCUGUGUCCACCCUUGCCUCCCUACUGUUUGUUCUCCACACGGCAGACAGAAUGGCCUUUACAAAUGUGGGUUAGAUCACACCA
RNAcentral lists this long non-coding RNA (6324 nucleotides) under Sus scrofa (pig). Its description in RNAcentral is "lncRNA (ENSSSCG00025013320.1)". Lineage: Eukaryota; Metazoa; Chordata; Mammalia; Artiodactyla; Suidae. The record is from RNAcentral.